GUUAAAUGGUGCAUUCUCAGUCCUUUGACUUUGAUCAUUAUCUGUCUGUAUGAGAAUCUUCCACAUGAUGUGAAGCGUCCAGUCCUGCCCUGCGUCUGGCCUUUGGCUCUGGCCACUGAUGACAAGGCUGAGGUUGACCGCUGGUUUGACAACAGACUGAGGAACUACCUGAAGUUCCUCAACAGAAACCUGCUCCAGUCCUCUGACACACUCAACGCCUCCUGCUUACCCUUCAGGAGACUUGUGUAUCUACUGGGAUCCAAGCUCACUUUCAAUGGCUCAGCCAUAACUCAAGAUGAUGCGUACAGCACCAUAAAUACCUACCUCAACACAGGAAGUUCAGCAGCACCCAAGUGUUAUAGUCCCUCUGACCCAAAUCUCAACUCCACCGCCUGGUUCCUUAACUACAUUGGUGUGUUCAUCACCUUUGUGACCAUUGAAGACUUCAACACAUUUGGCUCAGAGUCAACGCUAAAACUAUUUGCCGUGAACCCUGUCAACAUUGAGUUGUUCAAUUUCGCUGGAGCUCCUCAAAAUCUGACUAAACACUUUACUGAGCUUAUCUUCCUGCAGAACUCCAACUUCCUCCCA
This is a long non-coding RNA of Oncorhynchus kisutch (coho salmon), 591 nucleotides long. RefSeq lists it as uncharacterized. The record is from RefSeq and is a predicted model, not a curated record. The transcript has 4 exons. NCBI's taxonomy places the organism in Eukaryota, Metazoa, Chordata, Actinopteri, Salmoniformes, Salmonidae.